GUUCAUUAGCAUAUGGAUAUCGGCUCUGUGAUGACGUCAUCGUGAUGGAUAAUUAAUGGGUUAUCAAUGCAUUAAUGACUGCAACAUCGCCCACAGAGCCCAUUGACCCCAUUGACCCCCAUUGAUCCCCAUUGACCCCCAUUGAUCCCCAUUGAUCCCCAUUGACCCCCAUUGAUCCCCAUUGAUCCCCAUUGAUCCCCAUUGACCCCCAUUGAUCCCCAUUGACCCCCAUUGACUUCCAUUGAUCCCCAUUGACCCCCAUUGAUCCCCAUUGAUCCCCAUUGACCCCCAUUGAUCCCCAUUGACCCCCAUUGAUCCCCAUUGAUCCCCAUUGACCCCCAUUGAUCCCCAUUGACUCCCAUUAUGUCCCAGCGGUACCGGUGCCGGUACGAGCGGCUGCGCCGCGCCGCGCGCGCUCUGGUGCUGGAGUCUGGAGCUCUGUGAGACACUGCCCAUUGACCCCUAUUGAUCCCCAUUGAUCCCCAUUGAUCCCCAUUGAUCCCCAUUGAUCCCCAUUGAUCCCCAUUGAUCCCCAUUGAUCCCCAUUGAUCCCCAUUGACUCUCAUUGAUCCCCAUUGACCCCCAUUGACCCCCAUUGAUCCCCAUUGAUCCCCAUUGAUCCCCAUUGACCCCCAUUGAUCCCCAUUGAUCCCCAUUGAUCCCCAUUGAUCCCCAUUGAUCCCCAUUGAUCCCCAUUGACUCUCAUUGAUCCCCAUUGACCCCCAUUGAUCCCCAUUGAUCCCCAUUGAUCCCCAUUGACUCUCAUUGAUCCCCAUUGACCCCCAUUGAUCCCCAUUGAUCCCCAUUGAUCCCCAUUGACUCUCAUUGAUCCCCAUUGACCCCCAUUGACUCUCAUUGACCCCCAUUGAUCCCCAUUGAUCCCCAUUGAUCCCCAUUGACUCCCAUUGACUCCCAUGAUGUCCCACCGGUACCGGUGCCGGUACGAGCGGCUGCGCCGCGCCGCCCGCGCUCUGGUGCUGGAGUCUGGAGCUCUAUGUGAUGAACUCGCCAGGAUCGAGGCCAAGGUUCUCCGAGCGCGGCAGGAACGGAGGCUGCUGCUGACCCGGCUGCUGCGGCGCAGGAUGGGGGAUGGGAGCGGGACAGCAGCGGCUGUGGGGUCUAUGGGGUCAUCUAUGGGGUCUAUGGGAUCAUCUAUGGGGUCUAUGGGAUCAUCAAUGGGGUCUAUGGGGUCUAUGGGAUCAUCAAUGGGGUCUAUGGGGUCAUCUAUGGGGUCUAUGGGGUCAUCAAUGGGGUCUAUGGGAUCAUCAAUGGGGUCUAUGGGACCAAUGGGAUCAUCAAUGGGGUCUAUGGGAUCAAUGGGAUCUAUGGGAGCAACAACGGCAUCAAUGGGAUCAUCAAUGGCAUCAAUAGGAUCAUCAAUGGCAUCAAUGGGAUCAUCAAUGGCAUCAAUAGGAUCAUCAUUGGCAUCAAUGAGAUCCACAACGGCAUCAAUGGCGUCAUCAAUAGGAUCAAGGGCAUCAAUAGGAUCAAUGGGAUCAAGGGCACCGCAAUCAACGCCAAUGGUAACGGCAUCAAUGACACUGCAACCAAUGGCGUCAACGGCAUCAAUGACGUCAUCAAUGACGUCAUCAAUGACAUCGUCGAUGACAUCAUCAAUGACAUCAUCAAUGACAUCAACAGCAUCAAUGGCACCUACAACACCAUCAAUGGCACCAACAGCAUCAACGGCAUCAAUGACAUCAUCGAUGACGUCAUCAAUGACGUCAUCAACGGCACCUCAACGGCAGGGGGAUGGGAAUGGGGAGGAAGGGAGCAGGGGGGCAGGGGAUGGGGCUAUGGGGUCAAUGGGGGGGUCCAUAGGGGCAAGGGAUGGGGGUAUGGGGUCUAGGGGUGAAUCUAUGGGGUCUAGGGGUGAAUCUAUGGGGCCUAGGGGUGAAUCUAUGGGGCCUAGGGGUGAAUCUAUGGGGUCUAGGGAUGGAUCUAUGGGGCCUAGGGGUGAAUCUAUGGGGCCUAGGGGUGAAUCUAUGGGGUCUAGGGGUGAAUCUAUGGGGCCCAGGGAUGGGUCUAUGGGGUCAAGAGCAGGGUCCAUGCCCCCCUUUAGGGAUGGGGCAUCACCAGCCUCCCCCAUAGACAACACUGGCAAUGGGGCCAGACCUAUGGGGCCAAGCUCCGCCCCAAGCUCCGCCCCCCCGAGGGCCUCAGCCAAUAGGAGAGCCCCAUGGAGCAUCCAGGACUUGGGGGGCAGGCGGCGGGGGGGCGGGGCCGGAGGGGGGCGGAGCCUCCCGGGGCAGCCAAUGGGAGCAGGGGAGGUGUUCGGGCUCGGGCACCCAUUGGUCCAGCAGCUGCUGCGGGAGGAGGAGGAGGAGGAGGAGGAGGAAGAUGGAGCUGAUGCCUUCACCUAUGGGGAGCUGUUCUUGGGCAGCCCCACAGGCUCUGAGUGACCCAAAAUGGCAUUAAAUGGACCCAAAAUGAUGGUGAUGUGGUGGUGGGGUCCAUAGGGAUGCAUUGACUCCAUAGGGAUGCAUUGAGUCCAUAGGGAUGCAUUGACUCCAUAGGGAUGCAUUGAGUCCAUAGGGAUGCAUUGACUCCAUAGGGAUCCAUUGGUGGUGGGGUCCAUAGGGAUGCAUUGAGUCCAUUGGGAUGCAUUGAGUCCAUAGGGAUGCAUUGAUUCCAUAGGGAUCCAUUGACUCCAUAGGGACCCAUUGACUCCAUAGGGACCCAUUGACUCCAUAGGGACCCAUAGACUCCAUAGGGAUCCAUUGAUGGUGUCCAUAGGGAUGCGUUGGUGGUGUCCAUAGGGAUGCAUUGACUCCAUAGGGCCCCAUUGACUCCAUAGGGAUGCAUUGACCCCAUAGGGAUCCAUUGAUGGUGUCCAUAGGGAUGCGUUGGUGGUGUCCAUUGGGAUCCAUUGAGUCCAUAGGGACCCAUUGACUCCAUAGGGACUCAUUGACCCCAUAGGGACCCAUUGACUCCAUAGGGAUCCAUUGACUCCAUAGGGACCCAUUGACUGCAUAGGAACCCAUUGACCCCAUAGGGACCCAUUGACUCCAUAGGGAUCCAUUGACUCCAUAGGGACCCAUUGACUGCAUAGGAACCCAUUGACCCCAUAGGGAUCCAUUGACUCCAUAGGGACCCAUUGACUCCAUAGGGACCCAUUGACUCCAUAGGGACCCAUUGACCCCAUAGGAACCCAUUGACUCCAUAGGGACCCAUUGACUCCAUAGGGACCCAUUGGUGGUGUCCAUAGGGAUCCCCAUUGACUCCCAUUGAUCCCCAUUGCCCCCAUUGACUCCAUAGGGAUCCAUUGAUGCUCUUUAUUGGCCAAUGAGCAUCCCUCCCUCCCCAUCCGAGCCCUCUCAUUGGCUGCCAUCGGAGCGCUCCCAUUGGCUGCCGCGGCCGGAGCCCUCUCAUUGGCUGCCAUUGGAGCGCUCCCAUUGGCUGCCGCGGCCGGAGCCCUCUCAUUGGCUGCUGCCGCCAUCCGAGCGCUCCCAUUGGAUGUUGUGGUGGAUCCGGGUGACAUCCGGAUGGUUCCGGAGCUCCUGGACCAGUAACCGGCUCCAGUUCCCAUCCGGAUGCACCAGUUGGAUACUGGGAACAGGCUCCGGAUGGGCCGAGAGCAGCUGGAGGCCUGAGGCCUGGAGAUGGGCACGGACAUGGGGCAGGGACUGGGGGGGGCACAGGAACUGCAAUGGGAUCAAUGGGGUUAAUGGGAUCAAUGGGAGUCAAUGGGAUCAAUGGGAUCAAUGGGGAUCAAUGGGGAUGAAUGGGGAUCAAUGGGAUCAAUGGGGAUCAAUGGGGUUAAUGGGAUCAAUGGGGGUCAAUGGGGAUCAAUGGGAUCAAUGGGGAUCAAUGGGGUUAAUGGGAUCAAUGGGGUCAAUGGGGGUUAAUGGGGAUCAAUGGGAUCAAUGGGGAUCAAUGGGAUCAAUGGGGAUCAAUGGGAUCAAUGGGGAUCAAUGGGGGUCAAUGGGAUCAAUGGGGAUCAAUGGGGGUUAAUGGGGAUCAAUGGGAUCAAUGGGGAUCAAUGGGAUCAAUGGGGAUCAAUGGGAUCAAUGGGGAUCAAUGGGGAUCAAUGGGGUUAAUGGGAUCAAUGGGGUCAAUGGGGAUCAAUGUGUGGUUGGGGAUGGUCAAGGGAUCUCCAAGCAUGGUUGGUGCCACCAUCAGGACCCCCCAUAUCCCCCCAUACCCCCCAUUACCCCCAUAGACCCCAUAGACCCCAUUAGCCCCAUAACCUCCAUAGCCCCAUAUCCCCCCAUAUCCCCCCAUAACCCCAUAGACCCUAUAGCCCCCAUACCCCUCAAAACCCCCAUUACCCCCAUAACCCCAUAUCCCCCCAUAUCCCCUAUGGCCCCAUAGCUCCCCAUAGCCCCCCAUUAACCCCAUAACCCCCAUAGACCCCAUAGCCCCAUUACCCCCAUACACCCCAUUGCCCCCAUUACCCCCAUAGCCCGAUAGCCCCCAUAUCCCCCUUUAACCCCAUAACCCCCAUAUCCCCUAUAGCCC
This 4461-nucleotide long non-coding RNA is filed under the name Melopsittacus undulatus (budgerigar). RNAcentral describes it as "lncRNA (ENSMUNG00000019690.1)". The record is from RNAcentral. Lineage: Eukaryota; Metazoa; Chordata; Aves; Psittaciformes; Psittaculidae.